RNAcentral lists this ribosomal RNA (741 nucleotides) under uncultured Alphaproteobacteria bacterium. Its description in RNAcentral is "bacterial SSU rRNA". It matches the Rfam family "Bacterial small subunit ribosomal RNA", at positions 94 to 872 of the family's 1533-position model. The record is from RNAcentral. Lineage: Bacteria; Pseudomonadati; Pseudomonadota; Alphaproteobacteria.
AGUGGCAGACGGGUGAGUAACAUGUGGGUAUCUACCCUUUGGCCUGGAAUAACACGAGGAAACUUGUGCUAAUACUGGAUAAGUCUUUACGGAGAAAGCUUUAUGCACCAUUGGAUGAGCCUGCACUUGAUUAGUUUGUUGGUAGGGUAAUGGCCUACCAAGACUGUGAUCAAUAGCUGAUUUGAGAGGAUGAUCAGCCACAUUGGGACUGAGACACGGCCCAAACUCCUACGGGAGGCAGCAGUGGGGAAUCUUGCACAAUGGAGGAAACUCUGAUGCAGCGAUGCCGCGUGAGUGAAGAAGGCCUUUGGGUUGUAAAGCUCUUUCGUCGGGGAAGAAAAUGACUGUACCCGAAUAAGAAGGUCCGGCUAACUUCGUGCCAGCAGCCGCGGUAAUACGAAGGGACCUAGCGUAGUUCGGAAUUACUGGGCUUAAAGAGUUCGUAGGUGGUUGAAAAAGUUGGUGGUGAAAUCCCAGAGCUUAACCCUGGAACUGCCAUCAAAACUUUUCAGCUAGAGUUUGAUAGAGGAAAGCAGAAUUUCUAGUGUAGAGGUGAAAUUCGUAGAUAUUAGAAAGAAUACCAAUUGCGAAGGCAGCUUUCUGGAUCAUUACUGACACUGAGGAACGAAAGCAUGGGUAGCGAAGAGGAUUAGAUACCCUCGUAGUCCAUGCCGUAAACGAUGUGUGUUAGACGUUGGAAAUUUAUUUUCAGUGUCGCAGCGAAAGCGAUAAACACACCGC